RNAcentral lists this non-coding RNA (24 nucleotides) under Arabidopsis thaliana (thale cress). Lineage: Eukaryota; Viridiplantae; Streptophyta; Magnoliopsida; Brassicales; Brassicaceae. The record is from RNAcentral.
CUAAACAUGACUCUGGUGUUGUAG